UAUAUACAUUCUGUAAAGCCAUUUGCCAAACGGCCCAAACCCGAAUAACAAAGAAGUUGAUCGCUCAUCAAAUCUCCUGGUAGAAUUACCAGAGACAUUUGGGAAUUUAAAAGAUUUGAAGGUCUAUCUACUAUCCUUUGUUAUCUUGGAAUUUCUUUAUUCUCGUAUCCCUCUUUAUUUCAAAUUGGAAGUAAAAGUAAGAUACGGAAUACUAACAUCAAGCCUUGCUACACCAAAAAGAGGGCAAGUAAUGCAAUUUAUCUUUUUCAAGUAUAUGAAUUUGGGAUUUGCCCUUGCUCAUUGAAGCUUGUAGGUGCCUUUAGAACUUCCAGAUGUAUCAGUAGAUUGCCUUACUAAUAAAAGCUGUGCAAUGUUUCUUAAAUUGCCGCGAUAGUGACACUCUAUAUUUGCUCCCAUCUUUUUCUGUAUUGCAGGCUUUGUAUGCAAGUAAUAAUGGACUGAGAUCCCUCCCCAGUAUCCUAUUUAAAAUGUGUAGCCAACUUUCGAUUCUGGAUCUGCAUGGGACAGAAGUAACAAUGGAUGUUCUUCGCCAGUUUGAAGGAUGGGAUGAUUUUGAUAAUCGCCGCCGCUUGAAACAUCAGAAGCAGCUGGAUUUCCGAGUUAGUAGGUCAGCUGAAUUUGAUGAAGGUGCUGACAAUAGCUAUGGAGCUGCUAGUUGAGACCCUUGCCAGUUGAAGACCUACACAACAGUAACAUAGGAAAGUC
This is a non-coding RNA of Coffea arabica (coffee), 726 nucleotides long. Lineage: Eukaryota; Viridiplantae; Streptophyta; Magnoliopsida; Gentianales; Rubiaceae. The record is from RefSeq and is a predicted model, not a curated record.